RNAcentral lists this small RNA (117 nucleotides) under Macaca fascicularis (crab-eating macaque). RNAcentral's name for it is "Metazoan signal recognition particle RNA (ENSMFAG00000055212.1)". The record is from Rfam by way of RNAcentral. Lineage: Eukaryota; Metazoa; Chordata; Mammalia; Primates; Cercopithecidae.
GCCGGGUGUGGUGGCUCACACCUGUAAUCCCAGCAGUUUGGGAGGCUGAGGUGGGCGGAUCACCUGAGGUCAGGAGUUUGAGACCAGCCUGGCCAACAUGGUGAAAUCCCAUCUCUA